AUGCAGUCGCACGGACCUUUCGGGGUGAGUGGCGGACGGGUGAGUAACGCGUAGGGAUCUAUCCAUGGGUGGGGGAUAACACCGGGAAACUGGUGCUAAUACCGCAUGAUACCUGAGGGUCAAAGGCGCAAGUCGCCUGUGGAGGAGCCUGCGUUCGAUUAGCUUGUUGGUGGGGUAAAGGCCUACCAAGGCGAUGAUCGAUAGCUGGUCUGAGAGGAUGAUCAGCCACACUGGGACUGAGACACGGCCCAGACUCCUACGGGAGGCAGCAGUGGGGAAUAUUGGACAAUGGGCGAAAGCCUGAUCCAGCAAUGCCGCGUGUGUGAAGAAGGUCUUCGGAUUGUAAAGCACUUUCGACGGGGACGAUGAUGACGGUACCCGUAGAAGAAGCCCCGGCUAACUUCGUGCCAGCAGCCGCGGUAAUACGAAGGGGGCUAGCGUUGCUCGGAAUGACUGGGCGUAAAGGGCGCGUAGGCGGUUCAUACAGUCAGAUGUGAAAUUCCAGGGCUUAACCUUGGGGCUGCAUUUGAUACGUAUGGACUAGAGUGUGAGAGAGGGUUGUGGAAUUCCCAGUGUAGAGGUGAAAUUCGUAGAUAUUGGGAAGAACACCGGUGGCGAAGGCGGCAACCUGGCUCAUUACUGACGCUGAGGCGCGAAAGCGUGGGGAGCAAACAGGAUUAGAUAC
Molecule: ribosomal RNA, 685 nt
Filed under: Asaia sp. AR4
Lineage: Bacteria; Pseudomonadati; Pseudomonadota; Alphaproteobacteria; Acetobacterales; Acetobacteraceae
Also listed under: 4 other names
Description: bacterial SSU rRNA
Rfam family: Bacterial small subunit ribosomal RNA
Source: RNAcentral